This 508-nucleotide ribosomal RNA is filed under the name Acrodictys malabarica. RNAcentral's name for it is "eukaryotic LSU rRNA". It matches the Rfam family "Eukaryotic large subunit ribosomal RNA", at positions 125 to 655 of the family's 3401-position model. The record is from RNAcentral. Lineage: Eukaryota; Fungi; Ascomycota; Sordariomycetes.
UCUGGCUCUCGGGCCGAGUUGUAAUUUGUAGAGGAUGCUUUUGGCGCGGCGCCUUCUGAGUUCCCUGGAACGGGACGCCAUAGAGGGUGAGAGCCCCGUAGAGUUGGACGCCUAGCCUCUGUAAAGCUCCUUCGACGAGUCGAGUAGUUUGGGAAUGCUGCUCAAAAUGGGAGGUAAAUUUCUUCUAAAGCUAAAUACCGGCUGGAGACCGAUAGCGCACAAGUAGAGUGAUCGAAAGAUGAAAAGCACUUUGAAAAGAGGGUUAAACAGCACGUGAAAUUGUUGAAAGGGAAGCGCUUGUGACCAGACUUGUGCCUUGCCAAUCAUCCGGCGUUCUCGCCGGUGCACUUGGCUUGGCCCAGGCCAGCAUCAGUUUUCCCAGGGGGAGAAAAGCGCCGGGAACGUAGCUCCCUCGGGAGUGUUAUAGCCCGGCGCACAAUACCUCUGGGUGGACUGAGGACCGCGCAUUGCAAGGAUGCUGGCGUAAUGGUCAUCAGCGACCCGUCUU